GCGGGCAUAGCUCAGUGGUAGAGCGUCUCGUUGCCAACGAGAAGGUCGAGGGUUCGAAUCCCUUUGCCCGCUCCA
RNAcentral lists this transfer RNA (75 nucleotides) under Candidatus Pelagibacter sp. RNAcentral's name for it is "tRNA-Gly". It matches the Rfam family "tRNA". Rfam says of the family: Transfer RNA (tRNA) molecules are approximately 80 nucleotides in length. Their secondary structure includes four short double-helical elements and three loops (D, anti-codon, and T loops). The record is from RNAcentral. RNAcentral also lists the same sequence under 1 other name. Lineage: Bacteria; Pseudomonadati; Pseudomonadota; Alphaproteobacteria; Candidatus Pelagibacterales; Candidatus Pelagibacteraceae.